RNAcentral lists this ribosomal RNA (397 nucleotides) under uncultured bacterium. RNAcentral describes it as "partial 16S ribosomal RNA". It matches the Rfam family "Bacterial small subunit ribosomal RNA", at positions 360 to 774 of the family's 1533-position model. The record is from RNAcentral.
AAUAUUGCACAAUGGGGGAAACCCUGAUGCAGCGACGCCGCGUGAGCGAAGAAGGCCUUCGGGUCGUAAAGCUCUGUCCUAAGGGAAGAAACGGACGGUACCUUAGGAGGAAGCCCCGGCUAACUACGUGCCAGCAGCCGCGGUAAUACGUAGGGGGCGAGCGUUAUCCGGAAUUAUUGGGCGUAAAGGGUACGUAGGCGGCUUUUUAAGUCAGAUGUGAAAGACCACGGCUUAACCGUGGGGUUGCAUUUGAAACUGGAAGGCUUGAGUAUCGGAGAGGGUAGUGGAAUUCCCAGUGUAGCGGUGAAAUGCGUAGAUAUUGGGAGGAACACCAGUGGCGAAGGCAGCCCCCUGGGAUAAUACUGACGCUCAGACACGAAAGCGUGGGGAGCAAACA